UUCGCAGGCGGUUUUUAAGUCAGGUGUGAAAGCCAUAGGCUCAACCUAUGUAAGCACUUGAAACUGGAAGACUUGAGUUAAGGAGAGGAAAGUGGAAUUCCUAGUGUAGCGGUGAAAUGCGUAGAUAUUAGGAGGAAUACCAGUGGCGAAGGCGACUUUCUGGACUUAUACUGACGCUGAGGAACGAAAGCGUGGGGAGCAAACA
This 205-nucleotide ribosomal RNA is filed under the name uncultured Eubacteriales bacterium. Its description in RNAcentral is "uncultured Clostridiales bacterium partial 16S ribosomal RNA". It matches the Rfam family "Bacterial small subunit ribosomal RNA", at positions 568 to 774 of the family's 1533-position model. The record is from RNAcentral. Lineage: Bacteria; Bacillati; Bacillota; Clostridia; Eubacteriales.